AGCGAACGCUGGCGGCAGGCCUAACACAUGCAAGUCGAACGGAUCCUUCGGGAUUAGUGGCGGACGGGUGAGUAACACGUGGGAACGUGCCCUUUGGUUCGGAACAACUCAGGGAAACUUGAGCUAAUACCGGAUGUGCCCUUCGGGGGAAAGAUUUAUCGCCAUUGGAGCGGCCCGCGUCUGAUUAGCUAGUUGGUGAGGUAACGGCCCACCAAGGCGACGAUCAGUAGCUGGUCUGAGAGGAUGAUUAGCCACACUGGGACUGAGACACGGCCCAGACCCCUACGGGAGGCAGCAGUGGGGAAUCUUGCGCAAUGGGCGAAAGCCUGACGCAGCCAUGCCGCGUGAAUGAUGAAGGUCUUAGGAUUGUAAAAUUCUUUCAGCGGGGACGAUAAUGACGGUACCCGCAGAAGAAGCUCCGGCUAACUUCGUG
RNAcentral lists this ribosomal RNA (433 nucleotides) under uncultured bacterium. RNAcentral's name for it is "partial 16S ribosomal RNA". It matches the Rfam family "Bacterial small subunit ribosomal RNA", at positions 29 to 507 of the family's 1533-position model. The record is from RNAcentral.